This is a long non-coding RNA of Populus trichocarpa (black cottonwood), 1522 nucleotides long. RefSeq lists it as uncharacterized. NCBI's taxonomy places the organism in Eukaryota, Viridiplantae, Streptophyta, Magnoliopsida, Malpighiales, Salicaceae. The record is from RefSeq and is a predicted model, not a curated record. The transcript is spliced from 2 exons.
GUGACUAUUUAUCUGCGAAGCUAGAAGGACAUAGCCUCGAUUUAAGACUUGAUGGUGAGAACAAAUAUUUCAUUUAGUUAUUUUUAUUCUAUUAUAUUUAAUUUAUGAGAUUAAAUAUUAUCUUUAAUGAUUUUAUUAUUAUUAUUUAAUCUAAAAAAUUAAAUAUCAUCUUUAAUAAAAAAAUAUUAAAUAUUUAAGGCUUUUUGGUAAGAAUACAUAUUUCCUUUAGUUAUUUCUAUUUUAUUCUAUUUAAUUUAAGAGAUUAAAUAUCAUCUUUAAUUCUUACAUUUUUCUUAUUUAAUCUAAAAAAUUAAAUAUUAUCUUUAACAAUAUUUUUUAUUAAAUAUUUAGAGUUUGCUUGGUUUUAUUUCUUUUCUUGAUUUUAUAAUAAUAUUUUUCUUAUUUAAUAUAAAAAAUAAAUAUUAUCUUUAACAAUUAGAUCUAUCGAAUAUCACUUAAAAAUAAAUUAUAACUUUAAUAAUUAUUUUUUGAAAAACAAAAGGCCAACAAUCACUAACAUAUUUUAUUAAAAUCACUUUAGUUUAUAUAGAAAAUAUUGAAAACUGAUUUUUGUUUUUUUACAUUAAAAUAAAAAAUUGAAUAAUGUUUUUAUAUUUUAUUUCAAACUCGAUAUUUUAAAACAAAAAUGAAAAAGAUGUGAUAUUAACAUUUUUUAUUAUAAAGUAAGUUUUUUAAUUAAAAGUGAUGGGAAUUUGUUUUUAUUGCAUGUACAAUCAUGCACAUUUAACUUUCUUUUUAAAUUUGAUGGUUUUUUAGGACGGAAAUGGCUUGAAGUUGCUCCAAAUCAGUACGAUACUUUCAUCUGACAUGUUGAUAUGUAUUUGUUGGCUUGAAGAUUAUUUUCCAAGCUUGGAAGUUUUAUUGAAUUCUCUUUGAAAUCUUUUCCAUCCGCUGGACAACUUAUAUUAUUAUGCAUGAUGUAAUUUAUAUUUUCAAGUUACAAAUUUUGAUGAAUAUUGUUUCAUUUUUUUCCUCAUUUCAAAAGAUGAAAAUCCUUGAUCUUAGUUAGAAAUAAAUUGGUUUUCUAGGAAGAGAUUAUUGAUUGGAAUAUAGUAUUUGAAUUGGUUCUUCAUCAUUUACUGUUAUAUAUAAUUUAAAAUAAUUGAUGAAAAUACAUAGAAAAGUUUUGAGAGCAUCCUUAAUUAGUCUAGUAAGUAAAGUGUUGUUAGUUUUGACUAUAAGAUCUUGCUAUGUAUUAUUGCAUGGUUUUUACUAUUUUUUUGCAUUUCUUCUUUUUGUAUAUACAACUUUUGUUUUUCUUGCCGCUUGUCAUUAGCUUUAUGGCACCAACACCAAUUAAUAAUAAAUCUUGAACUAUUAUUAAAUAAAGAAAAAAUAUAAAUAUCGUUAAAAUACCAAACUUGAAUUGCUCAAUCCUAAAGAAACCCUAUGACAAUAAUCUAAUUUAGAAAAUAAUUAAUUUAUCCUUGUAGUCUAAGAAAAUAGUAUUUAAUUCUUAUGUUUUCAUAUACAUCUAUGAUUUAAUAUGUUGAUUGAAAUU